GCAUAUCAAUAAGCGGAGGAAAAGAAACCAACAGGGAUUGCCCCAGUUAACGGCGAGUGAAGCGGCAACAGCUCAAAUUUGAAAUCUGGCCCCUCAAGGUCCGAGUUGUAAUUUGUAGAGGAUGCUUUUGGUGAGGUGCCGCCCGAGUUUCCCUGGAACGGGACGCCGCAGAGGGUGAGAGCCCCGUCUGGCUGGCCGCCGAACCUAUGUAAAGCUCCUUCGACGAGUCGAGUAGUUUGGGAAUGCUGCUCAAAAUGGGAGGUAUAUGUCUUCUAAAGCUAAAUAUUGGCCAGAGACCGAUAGCGCACAAGUAGAGUGAUCGAAAGAUGAAAAGCACCUUGAAAAGAGGGUUAAAUAGUACGUGAAAUUGUUGAAAGGGAAGCGCUUGUGACCAGACUUGGGCGCGGCGGAUCAUCCGGGGUUCUCCCCGGUGCACUUCGCCGUGUCCAGGCCAGCAUCAGUUCGUCGCGGGGGAAAAAGGCUUCGGGAACGUGGCUCCUCCGGGAGUGUUAUAGCCCGUUGCAUAAUACCCUGCGGUGGACUGAGGACCGCGCUUCGGCAAGGAUGCUGGCGUAAUGGUCACCAGCGACCCGUCUUGAAACACGGACCAAGGAGUCGUCUUCGUAUGCGAGUGUUCGGGUGUCAAACCCCUACGCGUAAUGAAAGUGAACGCAGGUGAGAGCUUCGGCGCAUCAUCGACCGAUCCUGAUGUUCUCGGAUGGAUUUGAGUAAGAGCAUACGGGGCCGGACCCGAAAGAAGGUGAACUAUGCCUGUAUAGGGUGAAGCCAGAGGAAACUCUGGUGGAGGCUCGCAGCGGUUCUGACGUGCAAAUCGAUCGUCAAAUAUGGGCAUGGGGGGCGAAAGACUAAUCGAACCUUCUAGUAGCUGGGUUCCGUGA
This 899-nucleotide ribosomal RNA is filed under the name Trichoderma polysporum. RNAcentral describes it as "LSU rRNA". It matches the Rfam family "Eukaryotic large subunit ribosomal RNA", at positions 38 to 963 of the family's 3401-position model. The record is from RNAcentral. Lineage: Eukaryota; Fungi; Ascomycota; Sordariomycetes; Hypocreales; Hypocreaceae.